Molecule: ribosomal RNA, 479 nt
Filed under: uncultured bacterium
Lineage: Bacteria
Description: bacterial SSU rRNA
Rfam family: Bacterial small subunit ribosomal RNA
Source: RNAcentral
GACGAACGCUGGCGGCGUGCCUAACACAUGCAAGUCGAGCGAAGUGCUUUGAGUGGAACCCUUCGGGGUGAAACUUGAAGCACUUAGCGGCGGACGGGUGAGUAACGCGUGAGGAACCUACCUCCCACAAGGGGAUAGCCUCGGGAAACCGGGAUUAAUACCCUAUGACACUUAGGUGUCGCAUGACACCUAGGUUAAAGCGCUUUAGCGGUGGGAGAUGGCCUCACGUCCCAUUAGCUAGUUGGUGAGGUAACGGCUCACCAAGGCGACGAUGGGUAGCCGGCCUGAGAGGGUGACCGGCCACACUGGGACUGAGACACGGCCCAGACUCCUACGGGAGGCAGCAGUGGGGAAUAUUGCACAAUGGGCGAAAGCCUGAUGCAGCGACGCCGCGUGAGCGAAGAAGGCCUUCGGGUCGUAAAGCUCUGUCCUAUGGGACGAUAAUGACGGUACCAUAGGAGGAAGCCCCGGCUAACUAC